AACGAACGCUGGCGGCAGGCUUAACACAUGCAAGUCGAACGGGCGUAGCAAUACGUCAGUGGCGGACGGGUGAGUAACACGUGGGAAUAUGCCUUUCGGUUCGGAACAACUCGGGGAAACCCGUGCUAAUUCCGGAUACGCCCUUACGGGAAAGGAUUUAUCGCCGAAAGAUUAGCCCGCGUUGGAUUAGCUAGUUGGUGAGGUAAAGGCUCACCAAGGCGACGAUCCAUAGCUGGUUUGAGAGAACGACCAGCCACACUGGGACUGAGACACGGCCCAGACUCCUACGGGGAGGCAGCAGUGGGGAAUCUUGGACAAUGGGCGCAAGCCUGAUCCAGCCAUGCCGCGUGAGUGAUGAAGGCCUUCGGUUGUAAAC
RNAcentral lists this ribosomal RNA (376 nucleotides) under uncultured bacterium. RNAcentral's name for it is "bacterial SSU rRNA". It matches the Rfam family "Bacterial small subunit ribosomal RNA", at positions 29 to 430 of the family's 1533-position model. The record is from RNAcentral.